Small nucleolar RNA from Lolium rigidum, 139 nucleotides. RefSeq annotates it as small nucleolar RNA Z247. Lineage: Eukaryota; Viridiplantae; Streptophyta; Magnoliopsida; Poales; Poaceae. The record is from RefSeq and is a predicted model, not a curated record. The transcript has a single exon.
CCACUUGGAGAUGAGGAGUUCAUCACCUACGUUUUGGAUGGACUUGAUGAGGACUAUGACCCACUCGUUGCUGUUAUUAACAAUCGCACUACUCUUAUCCCCAUACGUGAUCUAUAUGCUCAGCUCUUGAGUACAGAGC